RNAcentral lists this ribosomal RNA (508 nucleotides) under uncultured bacterium. RNAcentral describes it as "partial 16S ribosomal RNA". It matches the Rfam family "Bacterial small subunit ribosomal RNA", at positions 28 to 507 of the family's 1533-position model. The record is from RNAcentral.
GACGAACGCUGGCGGCGUGCCUAAUACAUGCAAGUCGAACGCUUCUUUCCUCCCGAGUGCUUGCACUCAAUUGGAAAGAGGAGUGGCGGACGGGUGAGUAACACGUGGGUAACCUACCCAUCAGAGGGGGAUAACACUUGGAAACAGGUGCUAAUACCGCAUAACAGUUUAUGCCGCAUGGCAUAAGAGUGAAAGGCGCUUUCGGGUGUCGCUGAUGGAUGGACCCGCGGUGCAUUAGCUAGUUGGUGAGGUAACGGCUCACCAAGGCCACGAUGCAUAGCCGACCUGAGAGGGUGAUCGGCCACACGGGGACUGGAACACGGCCCAGACUCCUACGGGAGGCAGCAGUAGGGAAUCUUCGGCAAUGGACGAAAGUCUGACCGAGCAACGCCGCGUGAGUGAAGAAGGUUUUCGGAUCGUAAAACUCUGUUGUUAGAGAAGAACAAGGACGUUAGUAACUGAACGUCCCCUGACGGUAUCUAACCAGAAAGCCACGGCUAACUACGUG